CCGGAGCUAAUACCGGAUAAUAUAUUUAACCGCAUGGUUCAAUAGUGAAAGACGGUUUUGCUGUCACUUAUAGAUGGAUCCGCGCCGCAUUAGCUAGUUGGUAAGGUAACGGCUUACCAAGGCAACGAUGCGUAGCCGACCUGAGAGGGUGAUCGGCCACACUGGAACUGAGACACGGUCCAG
This 183-nucleotide ribosomal RNA is filed under the name uncultured Staphylococcus sp. RNAcentral's name for it is "partial 16S ribosomal RNA". It matches the Rfam family "Bacterial small subunit ribosomal RNA", at positions 157 to 334 of the family's 1533-position model. Lineage: Bacteria; Bacillati; Bacillota; Bacilli; Caryophanales; Staphylococcaceae. The record is from RNAcentral.